GACGAACGCUGGCGGCGUGCUUAACACAUGCAAGUCGAACGGAAAGGCCUCUUUCGGGGGGUACUCGAGUGGCGAGCGGGUGAGUAACACGUGAGUAACCUGCCCUUGACUUUGGGAUAACUUCAGGAAACUGGGGCUAAUACCGGAUAGGAGCUCCUGCUGCAUGGUGGGGGUUGGAAAGUUUCGGCGGUUGGGGAUGGACUCGCGGCUUAUCAGCUUGUUGGUGGGGUGGUGGCUUACCAAGGCUUUGACGGGUAGCCGGCCUGAGAGGGUGACCGGCCACAUUGGGACUGAGAUACGGCCCAGACUCCUACGGGAGGCAGCAGUGGGGAAUAUUGCACAAUGGGUGGAAGCCUGAUGCAGCAACGCCGUGUGCGGGAUGACGGCCUUCGGGUUGUAAACCGCUUUCGCUCAUGACGAAGCUUUGUGUGACGGUAGUGGGUAAAGAAGCACCGGCUAACUACGU
This 466-nucleotide ribosomal RNA is filed under the name uncultured bacterium. RNAcentral describes it as "partial 16S ribosomal RNA". It matches the Rfam family "Bacterial small subunit ribosomal RNA", at positions 28 to 506 of the family's 1533-position model. The record is from RNAcentral.